Molecule: ribosomal RNA, 499 nt
Filed under: uncultured bacterium
Lineage: Bacteria
Description: partial 16S ribosomal RNA
Rfam family: Bacterial small subunit ribosomal RNA
Source: RNAcentral
GACGAACGCUGGCGGCGUGCCUAAUACAUGCAAGUCGAGCGAAGUCACACUGGUGCUUGCCCCGUAAAAAUUUCGCGGCGAACGGGUGUGUAACACGUAAAGAACCCGCCUCAUAGGCUGGGACAACCAUUGGAAACGAUAGCCAAUACCGGAUUACAGCAUUAACUGCAUGGCUGAUGUUUAAAAGUUGUUUUUGCUAACACUAUGAGAUUGCUUUGCGGUGCAUUAGCUAGUUGGUGGGGUAAAGGCCUACCAAGGCGACGAUGCGUAGCCGACCUGAGAGGGUGAUCGGCCACACUGGAACUGAGACACGGUCCAGACUCCUACGGGAGGCAGCAGUAGGGAAUCUUGCGCAAUGGGCGAAAGCCUGACGGAGCAACGCCGCGUGAGUGAAGAAGGCUUUCGGUUCGUAAAGCUCUGUUGUUAGGGAAGAAAAGUUGUGUAGUAAUACUACGCUGUAGUGACGGUACCUAAACAGAAAGCAACGGCUAACUACGUG